This 2842-nucleotide ribosomal RNA is filed under the name freshwater metagenome. RNAcentral describes it as "bacterial LSU rRNA". It matches the Rfam family "Bacterial large subunit ribosomal RNA". The record is from RNAcentral.
ACUAAUGGGCAGCAGGUGAAUGCCUUGGCGCUGAGAGGCGAUGAAGGACGCAGCAAGCUGCGAUAAGCCAUGGUGAGCCGCAAGCAGGCUUUGACCCGUGGAUUUCCGAAUGGGGAAACCCUCCCUUCUAAGGGAACUGCCGGAUGAAUUCAUAGUCCGUCAGGGCGAAACGAGGUGAAGUGAAACAUCUCAGUAACCUCAGGAAAAGAAAACGAAGUGAUUCCGUCAGUAGUGGCGAGCGAACGCGGAAUAGCCCAAACCGAAUUGAUUCAUCAAUUCGGGGUUGCGGGACCUCCGUAAGCAAAUCCAAAGACCAGCCGAAUGGCCUGGAAAGGCCAGCCAAAGACCGUGACAGCCGGGUCGGUUAACUCGAUGGGUUUGUGGGAGGUAUCCCAAGUAACGCGGUGCACGUGAAACUCCGCGUGAAUCUGUCCAGACCACUGGAUAAGGCUAAAUACUCCUCAGCGACCGAUAGUGAACUAGUACCGCGAGGGAAAGGCGAAAAGAACCCCUGCUAGGGGAGUGAAAUAGAUCCUGCAACCCGCUGCCUACAAUGUGUGGGAGCUCCGCAAGGAGUGACCGCCUGCCUUUUGCAUAAUGAGUCUGCGAGUUAUUAUCAGUGGCCAGCAUCAGCCUCUUUGAGGUGGAUGCGAAGCGAAAGCGAGUACGAAAUGUGCGACUAGUCGCUGGUAAUAGACCCGAAGCGGAGGUGAUCUACUCUUGAGCAGGUUGAAACCAAGGUAACACUUGGUGAAGGACCGAACUCGUGGAUGUUGAAAAAUCCUGAGAUGACUUGAGAGUAGGAGCGAAAGACUAAUCAAACCCCGUGAUAGCUGGUUCUCUCCGAAAUCGCUUGAGGGCGAGCGUUGGGAAAGUAAACCGAGGAGGUAGAGCACUGGAUGGCUUAGGGUCCCUACCGGGAUGCCAAAACCAAUCAAACUCCGAAUUCCUCGGGAUCCAUUACCCCAGCAUUCAGACGGCGAGGGAUAAGCUUCGUCGUCGAGAGGGCAACAGCCCAGACCUGCAGCUAAGGUGCCUAAACAUGGUUAAGUGGAAAGGAUGUGACGUUACUUAGACAGUGAGGAUGUUGGCUUAGAGGCAGCCAUCAUUUAAACAGUGCGUAACAGCUGACUCAUCGAGUGAUGUCGCGCCGAAAAUGAUUGGCGAUAAAUCAUGUACCGAAGCUCAGGAUUGCAUCCGGAUUCGUCUAGAUGCAGUGGUAGGAGAGCGUAACCCGUGCUGUGAAGGUCAUCCGAAAGGAGAGCUGGAGCGCUGGUUAGUGAGAAUGCAGACACGAGUAGCGAUAAACCAGAUGAGAAUUCUGGUCGCCGUAAACCCAAGGUUUCCUGGGCCAGGUUCGUCCUCCCAGGGUUAGUCGGGAGCUAAGACGAGGUCGUAAGACGUAGUCGAUGCACAGCCGGUCAACAUUCCGGCACCGAACCGGGUCAAACCGAUGGUGACGCAUGAUGGAACGCAGCAGGGUCAUUGAAAGAUCCAGCCUAGGAGCAAUCCGAAGCACGCUGCCGGAAGUUGUGCCUAGAAAAGCCAUCGGCCCUUUCCCGGUCGCCCGUACCGUAAACCGACACAGGUGGGUGGGUGUAAGUGCACCAAGGCGCGCGAGAGAGCCCUCUCUAAGGAACUCGGCACAUUAGCCCCGUAACUUCGGGAGAAGGGGUGCUCACUUCGGUGAGCCACAGUAAAUUGCGUUUAGCGACUGUUUAACAAAAACACAGCACUCUGCCACGUCGUUAAGACAACGUAUAGGGUGUGACAAGUGACCAAUGCGGAAAGAUCAAGGCAAGUUGUUAGCCGCAAGGCGAAGCUCCGAACCUAAGUCCCCGUGAAUGUCGGCCGUAACUAUAACGGUCCUAAGGUAGCGAAAUUCCUUGUCGGGUAAGUUCCGACCUGCACGAAUCUUGUAACGACUGAACGACUGUCUCGGAGAGGUUCUCGGCGAAACUGUAAUGGCGGUGAAGAUGCCGCCUGCCCGCAGUAGGACGGAAAGACCCUAUGCACCUUUACUGUAAGCUCGUAUUGGCUUCUGAUUGAUGAUGCUUAGCGUAGGUGGGAGACUUUGAAGGCACGGUUUCGGUUGUGCUGGAGUCGAAAUGUGAAACACCACUCUUUGUCAAUUAGGAGUCUAACCUCGAUCCCGUUAGCCGGGCGAGGGACAGUGCGUGCGGGUCAGUUUGGCUGGGGCGGCUUCCUCCCAAAUGGUAACGGAGGAGCGCGAAGCUGGGCUCAGCAUGGUUGGCAACCAUGCGUCGAGCGUAUGGGUAGAAGCCCGGUUAACUGCGAGACCAACAAGUCAAGCAGAUGCGAAAGCAGGCCCAAAUGAUCCGAUGGUUGAAUGUGGAAUUGCCAUCGCUCAACGGACAAAAGGUACGCUAGGGAUAACAGGCUGAUCGGGACCAAGAGUUCACAUCGACGUCCCGGUUUGGCACCUCGAUGUCGGCUCAUCGCAUCCUGGGGCUGGAGAAGGUCCCAAGGGUCCGGCUGUUCGCCGGUUAAAGCGGUACGCGAGCUGGGUUCAGAACGUCGUGAGACAGUUCGGUCCUUAUCCACUGUGGGCGGAGGAAACUUGAGGGGUUCAUUCCUUAGUACGAGAGGACCGGGAAUGACGCACUUCUGGUGUGGCAGUUGUCGUGUCAACGGCAUCGCUGCGUAGCCACGUGCGGAAGGGAUAAGCGCUGAAAGCAUCUAAGUGCCAAGCCCAUCCCAAGAUAUGGUUUCCCGGACGCAAGUCCCUGAAGACACCAGGCAGACUACCUGGUUGAUAGGCUGGGCGUGCAAGCUCCGUGAGGGGUUGAGCGGACCUUUAUCGUGACUGGGAAACAGAUCG